Molecule: non-coding RNA, 24 nt
Filed under: Arabidopsis thaliana (thale cress)
Lineage: Eukaryota; Viridiplantae; Streptophyta; Magnoliopsida; Brassicales; Brassicaceae
Source: RNAcentral
AUACUCAGUUUUGAUGUCCUCAUC